GGGGAUUUAGCUCAGCAGCAUAAGUGCCUGCCUUGCAAGCAGGUAGUCGUGAGUUCAAUCCCCUCGGUACCUA
This is a transfer RNA of Cavia porcellus (domestic guinea pig), 73 nucleotides long. It matches the Rfam family "tRNA". From Rfam's summary of the family: Transfer RNA (tRNA) molecules are approximately 80 nucleotides in length. Their secondary structure includes four short double-helical elements and three loops (D, anti-codon, and T loops). Further hydrogen bonds mediate the characteristic L-shaped molecular structure. tRNAs have two regions of fundamental functional importance: the anti-codon, which is responsible for specific mRNA codon recognition, and the 3' end, to which the tRNAs corresponding amino acid is attached (by aminoacyl-tRNA synthetases). tRNAs cope with the degeneracy of the genetic code in two manners: having more than one tRNA (with a specific anti-codon) for a particular amino acid; and 'wobble' base-pairing, i.e. permitting non-standard base-pairing at the 3rd anti-codon position. NCBI's taxonomy places the organism in Eukaryota, Metazoa, Chordata, Mammalia, Rodentia, Caviidae. The record is from Rfam.